This 357-nucleotide transfer-messenger RNA is filed under the name Gammaproteobacteria bacterium. RNAcentral describes it as "partial transfer-messenger RNA". It matches the Rfam family "transfer-messenger RNA". From Rfam's summary of the family: Bacterial tmRNA, also known as 10Sa RNA or SsrA, is named for its dual tRNA and mRNA-like properties. Lineage: Bacteria; Pseudomonadati; Pseudomonadota; Gammaproteobacteria. The record is from RNAcentral.
GGGGGCGACCUGGCUUCGACGUGGGUAGCGAAACCUGAGGUGCAUGUCGAGCAUGUAGAUUACUCGUAAAAAUCAUCUGCAAAUUUAUAGUUGCCAACGACGACAACUACGCACUCGCUGCUUAAUACCCAGUAGGGUGCCAUCCGACUGAAGCCGUGCUUGUGCGUUCAGAUUCCGGGUGUCAUCUCUCACAAGAUCGCGAUGGACGCUCUUCCGGGGCUGAAGCGCUAAAACCUUACCGGAAUCGCCGUAUGCCCUCCCUGCCUGUCGGGUAGCAGACGGUUAAAUCAAUAGGCAGAAUAAGCAUGUAGAGCCAACGGCGGAGGACUUGCGGACGCGGGUUCGAUUCCCGCCGCC